This 406-nucleotide ribosomal RNA is filed under the name uncultured bacterium. Its description in RNAcentral is "partial 16S ribosomal RNA". It matches the Rfam family "Bacterial small subunit ribosomal RNA", at positions 30 to 526 of the family's 1533-position model. The record is from RNAcentral.
AUUGAACGCUGGCGGCAGGCCUAACACAUGCAAGUCGAACGAGUGGCGGACGGGUGAGUAAUGUCUGGGAAACUGCCUGCUGGAGGGGGAUAACUACUGGAAACGGUAGCUAAUACCGCAUACCAUCGGAUGUGCCCAGAUGGGAUUAGCUAGUAGGUGGGGUAACGGCUCACCUAGGGGACGAUCCCUAGCUGGUCUGAGAGGAUGACCAGCCACACGGGAACUGGGACACGGGCCAGGCUCCUACGGGAGGCGGCAGUGGGUAAUAUUGCACAAUGGGCGCAAGCCUGAUGCAGCCAUGCCGCGUGUAUGAAGAAGGCCUUCGGGUUGUAAAGUACUUUCAGCGGGGAGGCGUUACCCGCAGAAGGAGCACCGGCUAACUCCGUGCCAGCAGCCGCGGUAAUUC